Molecule: unclassified non-coding RNA, 212 nt
Filed under: plant metagenome
Description: partial contains small subunit ribosomal RNA, internal transcribed spacer 1, and 5.8S ribosomal RNA
Source: RNAcentral
UCUCCGUUGGUGAACCAGCGGAGGGAUCAUUACAGGAUCGAAAGACUCCUAUAACCCCUGUGAACUUACUACAAAUACGUUGCUUCGGCGGGUGCCCCGGGUCUCCCGGGGCGUUCAGCCCGCCGGCAGCCUUCAAAUUCUGUUUCUUUGCGUUGGCAUCUCGAGUAUACAAAAAUAAGUUAAAACUUUCAACAACGGAUCUCUUGGUACUG